GACGAACGCUGGCGGCGUGCUUAACACAUGCAAGUCGAACGGAAAGGCCCUGCUUUUGUGGGUUUCUCGAGUGGCGAACGGGUGAGUAACACGUGAGUAACCUGCCCUUGACUUUGGGAUAACUUCAGGAAACUGGGGCUAAUACCGGAUAGGAGCUCCUGCUGCAUGGUGGGGGUUGGAAAGUUUCGGCGGUUGGGGAUGGACUCGCGGCUUAUCAGCUUGUUGGUGGGGUAGUGGCUUACCAAGGCUUUGACGGGUAGCCGGCCUGAGAGGGUGACCGGCCACAUUGGGACUGAGAGACGGCCCAGACUCCUACGGGAGGCAGCAGUGGGGAAUAUUGCACAAUGGGCGGAAGCCUGAUGCAGCAACGCCGCGUGCGGGAUGACGGCCUUCGGGUUGUAAACCGCUUUCGCCUGUGACGAAGCGUGAGUGACGGUAAUGGGUAAAGAAGCACCGGCUAACUACGUG
Molecule: ribosomal RNA, 468 nt
Filed under: uncultured bacterium
Lineage: Bacteria
Description: partial 16S ribosomal RNA
Rfam family: Bacterial small subunit ribosomal RNA
Source: RNAcentral